GGGGGGGGGGGGGGGGGGGGGGGGGGGGGGGGGGGGGGGGGGGGGGGGCGGGGGGGGGGGGGGUGGGCGGGUGGCGGGGGGGGGGGUAACACGGGGGUAACGGGCCCUUGACGGUGGGGUAGCGUCAGGAAACUGGGGCUAAUACCGGAUAGGAGCUCCUGCGGCAUGGUGGGGGGUGGAAAGUUUCGGCGGUUGGGGAUGGACUCGCGGCUUAUCAGCUUGUUGGUGGGGUAGUGGCUUACCAAGGCUUUGACGGGUAGCCGGCCUGAGAGGGUGACCGGCCACAUUGGGACUGAGAUACGGCCCAGACUCCUACGGAAGGCAGCAGUGGGGAAUAUUGCACAAUGGGCGGAAGCCUGAUGCAGCAACGCCGCGUGCGGGAUGACGGCCUUCGGGUUGUAAACCGCUUUCGCCUGUGACGAAGCGUGAGUGACGGUAAUGGGUAAAGAAGCACCGGCUAACUACGUG
This 468-nucleotide ribosomal RNA is filed under the name uncultured bacterium. RNAcentral describes it as "partial 16S ribosomal RNA". The stretch from base 60 to 468 matches the Rfam family "Bacterial small subunit ribosomal RNA", at positions 39 to 507 of the family's 1533-position model. The record is from RNAcentral.